AUACGUAGGUGACAAGCGUUAUCCGGAUUUACUGGGCGUAAAGGGCGUGUAGGCGGUCUUGCAAGUCAGAAGUGAAAUUCCGGGGCUUAACUCCGGGCGUGCAGGCGAUACGGGCAUAACUUGAGUACUGUAGGGGAGACUGGAAUUCCUGGUGUAGCGGUGAAAUGCGCAGAUAUCAGGAGGAACACCGGUGGCGAAGGGGGGUCUGUGGUCAGUAACUGACGCUGAGGAGCGAAAGCAUGGGUAGCGAGCAGGAUGAGAUACCCUGGUAGUCCAUGCCGUAAACGGGGGGCGCUAGGUGUAGGGGUCUUCCACGACUUCUGUGCCGUAGCUAACGCAUUAAGCGCCCCGCCUGGGGAGUACGGCCGCAAGGCUAAAACUCAAAGGAAUUGACGGGG
Molecule: ribosomal RNA, 398 nt
Filed under: uncultured bacterium
Lineage: Bacteria
Description: partial 16S ribosomal RNA
Rfam family: Bacterial small subunit ribosomal RNA
Source: RNAcentral